Molecule: ribosomal RNA, 1434 nt
Filed under: uncultured organism
Description: SSU rRNA
Rfam family: Bacterial small subunit ribosomal RNA
Source: RNAcentral
GCUACAGGCUUAACACAUGCAAGUCGAGGGGCAGCAUGGUCUUAGCUUGCUAAGGCCGAUGGCGACCGGCGCACGGGUGAGUAACACGUAUCCAACCUGCCGUCUACUCUUGGACAGCCUUCUGAAAGGAAGAUUAAUACAAGAUGGCAUCAUGAGUCCGCAUGUUCACAUGAUUAAAGGUAUUCCGGUAGACGAUGGGGAUGCGUUCCAUUAGAUAGUAGGCGGGGUAACGGCCUACCUAGUCUUCGAUGGAUAGGGGUUCUGAGAGGAAGGUCCCCCACAUUGGAACUGAGACACGGUCCAAACUCCUACGGGAGGCAGCAGUGAGGAAUAUUGGUCAAUGGGCGAGAGCCUGAACCAGCCAAGUAGCGUGAAGGAUGACUGCCCUAUGGGUUGUAAACUUCUUUUAUAAAGGAAUAAAGUCGGGUAUGGAUACCCGUUUGCAUGUACUUUAUGAAUAAGGAUCGGCUAACUCCGUGCCAGCAGCCGCGGUAAUACGGAGGAUCCGAGCGUUAUCCGGAUUUAUUGGGUUUAAAGGGAGCGUAGAUGGAUGUUUAAGUCAGUUGUGAAAGUUUGCGGCUCAACCGUAAAAUUGCAGUUGAUACUGGAUAUCUUGAGUGCAGUUGAGGCAGGCGGAAUUCGUGGUGUAGCGGUGAAAUGCUUAGAUAUCACGAAGAACUCCGAUUGCGAAGGCAGCCUGCUAAGCUGCAACUGACAUUGAGGCUCGAAAGUGUGGGUAUCAAACAGGAUUAGAUACCCUGGUAGUCCACACGGUAAACGAUGAAUACUCGCUGUUUGCGAUAUACUGCAAGCGGCCAAGCGAAAGCGUUAAGUAUUCCACCUGGGGAGUACGCCGGCAACGGUGAAACUCAAAGGAAUUGACGGGGGCCCGCACAAGCGGAGGAACAUGUGGUUUAAUUCGAUGAUACGCGAGGAACCUUACCCGGGCUUAAAUUGCAGAUGAAUUACGGUGAAAGCCGUAAGCCGCAAGGCAUCUGUGAAGGUGCUGCAUGGUUGUCGUCAGCUCGUGCCGUGAGGUGUCGGCUUAAGUGCCAUAACGAGCGCAACCCUUGUUGUCAGUUACUAACAGGUUCCGCUGAGGACUCUGACAAGACUGCCAUCGUAAGAUGUGAGGAAGGUGGGGAUGACGUCAAAUCAGCACGGCCCUUACGUCCGGGGCUACACACGUGUUACAAUGGGGGGUACAGAGGGCCGCUACCACGCGAGUGGAUGCCAAUCCCCAAAACCUCUCUCAGUUCGGACUGGAGUCUGCAACCCGACUCCACGAAGCUGGAUUCGCUAGUAAUCGCGCAUCAGCCACGGCGCGGUGAAUACGUUCCCGGGCCUUGUACACACCGCCCGUCAAGCCAUGGGAGCCGGGGGUACCUGAAGUGCGUAACCGCGAGGAGCGCCCUAGGGUAAAACUGGUGGCUG